UACGUAGGGAGCUAGCGUUGUUCGGAAUUACUGGGCGUAAAGCGCGCGUAGGCGGCUUUGUAAGUUAGAGGUGAAAGCCCGGGGCUCAACCCCGGAACAGCCUUUAAGACUGCAUCGCUAGAAUCCGGGAGAGGUGAGUGGAAUUCCGAGUGUAGAGGUGAAAUUCGUAGAUAUCGGAAGGAACAUCAGUGGCGAAAGCGACUUCCUGGACCAAUACUGACGCUCAUGUGCGAAAGCGUGGGGAGCAAACAGG
This 253-nucleotide ribosomal RNA is filed under the name uncultured bacterium. RNAcentral's name for it is "partial 16S ribosomal RNA". It matches the Rfam family "Bacterial small subunit ribosomal RNA", at positions 524 to 776 of the family's 1533-position model. The record is from RNAcentral.